Equus caballus (horse) is the source of this 3215-nucleotide long non-coding RNA. NCBI's taxonomy places the organism in Eukaryota, Metazoa, Chordata, Mammalia, Perissodactyla, Equidae. The record is from Ensembl.
UUUUAUGUAACCCUGGAAGUUAAUAUCUAAAUUGAUUAUAAAAUAUAUACCUGUAUACACAUAUACUGAGUUGAGCAGCAUCCCUUCGAGUUUCAUGUCCACCUGGAACCUCAGAUUAUGACCUUAUUAGGAAAUAAGAUCUUUGCAGAUGUCAAGAUGAGUUCAUGCUAGAUUAGAGCAGGUCUUAACCCAAUGGUCCGUAUCCCUAUAAAAAGAGGGAAAUCUGGACACAGAGGGCUGCACAGCAGACGUGUCUUCACCGUGUGAAGACAGAGGCAGAGGUUGGCGUGACCUGCCUACAGUCAAGGAAGGUAAAGGAUUCUUGGCAACAACCAGAAGCUGCGAGUGGCUGGAACAGAUGCUCCCUCUGAACCUCCAGAGGGAACCAGCCUGCUGACAACCUGAUUUCAGAAUGCCGCCUCCAGAACUGUGAGGGAAUCACUUCCUGUUGUUUCAGCCCCCCCGCUCUGUGGACUUUGUUAUUGGUGGCCCUAGGAAACUAGUAACAUACGUAUUUAUAUAAACACACACAUAUGCAUAUACACACACACAUCUGGAAUAAAUCUCACAUUCUCUUUGACUUCAGCAAGUCCCAGCUUGGAGGCAUUGGAAUAAAAAGCAAGAACAAAUGAAAAGCCCGGCAUAGGAAACUUGACUCAAUGGGGAAGUUGGAGGGCCCCUCCAGCUUAUCAAUGGGCUACACAGCCAGGCAGAAUAUACUCCUUCCUUUACACCCUUACCAAGGUUCCUGUUGUUUCAGCCCCCCAGUCUGUGGACUUUGUUCCGAGCCGACUAGUACAGUUCCUAAGGAGGGCGUGGGCCUUGGAUAUUAGGGGGACAGCCAGAGGCCAGUGCGCCUGGAGCAGGGAGAGGAGGAGAACAGCAGAGGAGCGUGAUGGGGGGGGUGCUCACAUGGUGUCAUGAUUCGCUGGCCAUGGGAGUCUGACGCUGGCUGUGAGUGACUUCGAGCCUACAAGUGGCCUGAUGAGGCAGCUUCACCAGAUCCCUGUGUACCUUGAGAACAGACACUGGGAUGAUACUGUCAUUCAAGGCUGGGGUCAGAGUGGGCUCGUACCUGUGACACUGAUGUGCCAGGUUGGAGCCCUGAUAUAAUCUGAAGUUAGAGCCAUCAGAAUUUCUUGACGUAUAAGGAUGUUACUAGAUUUUACUACAAUUUAAAAAAUUCAAAAAGGAUGUGUGGAAGGUUAAAUAACACAGAGUCACUUUUGUGAAGGGUUCUGAAAUGGAGCUGGGAGGCCAUGAAGGAAGUGUGCUUGAUGCAAGUCCUCACUGAGUGGAAGCAGGAACUUCUGGGCUGGGCCACACUGCAAAUGCCCCGAGGACUCUGCAGGAGCUCCUGCGACUUGCUGCAGGAAUGGAGCUUUGCUUGGUGAGGGCCUGAGCGUCUUCAGCCCUCAUUCGUUUUCUGCCACCAACACCAAUCAAGAUUCUUUGUAAACAAAUUAUGCAAACAUUCCCUUUUUAUCUUAAAUCCCCUGAUUUUUGCUCCCUGGUGUGGCACUAUUUGGACUGCCACCCAAUUCUAUGUACCCCAAAUUGAAAAUCUUUGAUCCCAAAUGAAUCUUUUCCUCUUGAACUCGUUUCCUGCUUUGAGGUUGAGAUUCCUGGUGGCAGAAGCAGGAUCUGAAAUGACCUCGUGAUCCCGCACUGCCAUCCCCUAGAAUCGCUGAGAUGCCCACGCAAGCCCUUUUGUGCUCCCUGCUGUCUCCCUGACUGUGAGCCCUCUCAGGCUUCAACUUCCCUCCUGUGGGUCGAGGUCCUCGCCUUCCUUGGGAGCUGGGGUGCACCUGCCCUCGUGCUGGGUGCGGCUCUUGAUGCUCGAGGGGUUUCCUUGUCUCUCCCCAGCAUACAACCAAAAGGACAUUAAGCAACAGAAGAUACCCACACAGCACAAUAGGAUGUUUGAGAGAUGCACACAGCCAUAUGUCUGAAGGUGGGAGUACUGGACCCCCAGGAAGCAGUGGGAGGAGGUGAGUGGAUGUCCUCCUCAUCAUUGGCUUGGAUCUAGGUUGCAAGUCCACACAUAAUGGCCGGCACAUGACUCCGUGAGGAGGCAGGGGAGCAGGUGGGCCUCCUUGUGAAUGCUGUCACUUUCAUGGUCACAUCCCAGCCAACAGGGGUGCUCUACAUUGAGGUGGCUCAGCCACUGCAUGGGACCCCCCUCAAGCCCAGCAGCCCAAGUGGACCACCAGUGAGGGCACAGCAGCCUCGUGUGUGAUAGAGGGUGCCCUUCCUAUCCCUUCCUGCCUUGCACCCAGGUCUGGCUGGUCAGCCAGGGCAGUGUAUCCACACCAGAGUGGAUCAGGUAGGCAGACGCAGAUGGGCCCUAUCAGCACAGCUUCUUGCAGAGAGGCACAACUUCUAGCAGAUUCAGAGUGUUCAGAAAACACAGCUCCUGCCCCUCUCAGUGGUGGCAGGUGGAAUCUGUGACCAGAUAACACCACUAUGUGCCGGCAAAGGUCCACUUCAUCAAACACCCUGAAGAAAUACAUUAACACUCCGGACCAGAUGGAAAACGGAAAGUCUCCAGAGACCAAUCUUGAAGUCAGAGAAGUUUUCAAUGUAAAUGAUGAAUUCCAAAUAGUUAUAGAGAAACUCAGUGAGUUACAAGAAAAUUCAGCCAGUUCAAUGAACUCAGGAAGGAAAUUAAGGAGCCAAAGGAAUUCUUCACAAAAGAGGUAGAAACACUAAAAAACACACCAAACAGAACUGCUGAAAUGAAGAACACAAUGAAUGAGAUAAAAACAUUCUAGAGGGCCGGCCCGGUGGCGCAGCAGUUACGGUCACACGUUCUGCUUCAGCGGCCCUGGGUUCACCGUUUCGGAUCCCAGGUGUGGACAUGGCACCGCUUGGCAAGCCAUGCUGUGGUAGGCAUCCCACAUAUAAAGUAGAGGAAGAUGGGCACGGAUGUGAGCUCAGGGCCAGUCUUCCUCAGCAAAAAGAGGAGGAUUGGCAGUAGUUAGCUCAGGGCAAAUCUUCCUCAAAAAAAAAAAAAAAAAAAAGAUUGACUAAGGAUUAUUUGCAUCAACACCAGCAACGUGGGACUAAACAAAUCUACACUUGAUCAGCAAUGCUUUCUGCAAAAAUUCUCCAUCAAGAGGGUUAAAUUUUAAAGAAAACAAGGUCACUUCUGUCGAAGGGCUUUAAAAUGGAGGCGGGAGCCAUUAAGGAAGGAGAGUCGUGCACGUCCUCCU